GAAAGCCCCAAAAUCUCUCUUUCAAGAGUAAAAUUCUUGGCCAAAGGAAAAGGAAAGAACACCCUUCCAAUUAUCUAAGAAGAUUAAGGUACUUUCAAUCCCGAGCACGAGUCGUAAAGUUGGAG
Molecule: non-coding RNA, 125 nt
Organism: Erythranthe guttata (spotted monkey flower)
Lineage: Eukaryota; Viridiplantae; Streptophyta; Magnoliopsida; Lamiales; Phrymaceae
Source: RefSeq, a predicted model, not a curated record